Molecule: non-coding RNA, 99 nt
Organism: Cicer arietinum (chickpea)
Lineage: Eukaryota; Viridiplantae; Streptophyta; Magnoliopsida; Fabales; Fabaceae
Source: Rfam
GGACAAUGACGAUUUCGUGAUAAGGUCUCGUUCGUCGUAAUUGGUCUAUUUUUGACCUUGCCGACCAUACUGUUAUAUCACCACCCAUAUUCUGAGUCU